RNAcentral lists this ribosomal RNA (253 nucleotides) under uncultured bacterium. RNAcentral describes it as "partial 16S ribosomal RNA". It matches the Rfam family "Bacterial small subunit ribosomal RNA", at positions 524 to 776 of the family's 1533-position model. The record is from RNAcentral.
UACAGAGGGUGCAAGCGUUGUUCGGAAUUAUUGGGCGUAAAGGGCGCGUAGGCGGUGCUAUAAGUCUGUGGUGAAAUCUCCCGGCUCAACUGGGAGGGUGCGCCGAAUACUGAGAGGCUAGAGUGUGGGAGAGGAAAGUGGAAUUCCUGGUGUAGCGGUGAAAUGCGUAGAUAUCAGGAGGAACACCGGUGGUGUAAACGGCUUUCUGGACCAUAACUGACGCUGAGGCACGAAAGCGUGGGUAGCAAACAGG